Molecule: ribosomal RNA, 70 nt
Filed under: Pythium catenulatum
Lineage: Eukaryota; Oomycota; Peronosporomycetes; Pythiales; Pythiaceae
Description: partial 18S ribosomal RNA
Source: RNAcentral
GGAGUAUGAUCAUCGAUCGACUGGUACUCGCGAUGCAUCUAGAUUUCCGUAGGUGAACCUGCGGAAGGAU